AAGUAUAGCCAUAGAGGGUGAUAGUCCCGUAUGCGAAAAACAAACCUUAGCUAGCAGUAUCCUGAGUAGGGCGGGACACGAGAAAUCCUGUCUGAAGCUGGGUCGACCACGAUCCAACCCUAAAUACUAAUACCAGAUCGAUAGUGCACAAGUACCGUGAGGGAAAGGUGAAAAGAACUGAGGUGAUCAGAGUGAAAUAGAACCUGAAACCAUUUGCUUACAAUCAUUCAGAGCCCUAUGUAGCAAUACAGGGUGAUGGACUGCCUUUUGCAUAAUGAGCCUGCGAGUUGUGGUGUCUGGCAAGGUUAAGCAAACGCGAAGCCGUAGCGAAAGCGAGUCUGAAUAGGGCGCUUAGUCAGAUGCUGCAGACCCGAAACGAAGUGAUCUAUCCAUGAGCAAGUUGAAGCUAGUGUAAGAACUAGUGGAGGACUGAACCCAUAGGCGUUGAAAAGCCCCGGGAUGACUUGUGGAUAGGGGUGAAAGGCCAAUCAAACUUCGUGAUAGCUGGUUCUCUCCGAAAUAUAUUUAGGUAUAGCGUUGUGUCGUAAUAUAAGGGGGUAGAGCACUGAAUGGGCUAGGGCAUACACCAAUGUACCAAACCCUAUCAAACUCCGAAUACCUUAUAUGUAAUCACAGCAGUCAGGCGGCGAGUGAUAAAAUCCGUCGUCAAGAGGGAAACAACCCAGACUACCAGCUAAGGUCCCUAAAUCUUACUUAAGUGGAAAACGAUGUGAAGUUACUUAAACAACCAGGAGGUUGGCUUAGAAGCAGCCAUCCUUUAAAGAAAGCGUAAUAGCUCACUGGUCUAGUGAUUUUGCGCGGAAAAUAUAACGGGGCUAAAGUAAGUACCGAAGCUGUAGACUUGCGCACAACUUAGAUUAUUUAAGUUUAGAAUAUGAGAAACUAAGUUAUAUGUUUAGUUAUAUUUUUACUGAUUUUUAUAGAGUAAAGAUAGAAAUAAAACUUAGUAAAAUCAGUAAAAAUAUUCUUAGACUAAAGUUAAGUAGUUUAAGUUGUGUGCAAGUGGUAGGAGAGCGUUCUAUUUGCGUCGAAGGUAUACCGGUAAGGAGUGCUGGAGCGAAUAGAAGUGAGCAUGCAGGCAUGAGUAGCGAUAAUUAAUGUGAGAAUCAUUAACGCCGUAAACCCAAGGUUUCCUACGCGAUGCUCGUCAUCGUAGGGUUAGUCGGGUCCUAAGUCGAGUCCGAAAGGGGUAGACGAUGGCAAAUUGGUUAAUAUUCCAAUACCAACAUUAGUGUGCGAUGGAAGGACGCUUAGGGCUAAGGGGGCUAGCGGAUGGAAGUGCUAGUCUAAGGUCGUAGGAGGUUAUACAGGCAAAUCCGUAUAACAAUACUCCGAGAACUGAAAGGCUUUUUGAAGUCUUCGGAUGGAUAGAAGAACCCCUGAUGCCGUCGAGCCAAGAAAAGUUUCUAAGUUUAGCUAAUGUUGCCCGUACCGUAAACCGACACAGGUGGGUGGGAUGAGUAUUCUAAGGCGCGUGGAAGAACUCUCUUUAAGGAACUCUGCAAAAUAGCACCGUAUCUUCGGUAUAAGGUGUGGUUCGCUUCGUAUUAGGAUUUACUCCGAAAGCGAAGAAACUUACAACAAAGAGUCCCUCCCGACUGUUUACCAAAAACACAGCACUCUGCUAACUCGUAAGAGGAUGUAUAGGGUGUGACGCCUGCCCGGUGCUCGAAGGUUAAUUGAUGGGGUUAGCAUUAGCGAAGCUCUUGAUCGAAGCCCGAGUAAACGGCGGCCGUAACUAUAACGGUCCUAAGGUAGCGAAAUUCCUUGUCGGUUAAAUACCGACCUGCAUGAAUGGCGUAACGAGAUGGGAGCUGUCUCAAAGAGGGAUCCAGUGAAAUUGUAGUGGAGGUGAAAAUUCCUCCUACCCGCGGCAAGACGGAAAGACCCCGUGGACCUUUACUACAGCUUGACACUGCUAUUUGGAUAAGAAUGUGCAGGAUAGGUGGGAGGCUUUGAGUAUAUGACGCCAGUUGUAUAUGAGCCAUUGUUGAGAUACCACUCUUUCUUAUUUGGGUAGCUAACCAGCUUGAGUUAUCCUCAAGUGGGACAAUGUCUGGUGGGUAGUUUGACUGGGGCGGUCGCCUCCCAAAUAAUAACGGAGGCUUACAAAGGUUGGCUCAGAACGGUUGGAAAUCGUUCGUAGAGUAUAAAGGUAUAAGCCAGCUUAACUGCAAGACAUACAAGUCAAGCAGAGACGAAAGUCGGU
Molecule: ribosomal RNA, 2230 nt
Filed under: Campylobacter coli
Lineage: Bacteria; Pseudomonadati; Campylobacterota; Epsilonproteobacteria; Campylobacterales; Campylobacteraceae
Description: partial 23S ribosomal RNA
Rfam family: Bacterial large subunit ribosomal RNA
Source: RNAcentral